Molecule: ribosomal RNA, 432 nt
Filed under: uncultured Anaerolineae bacterium
Lineage: Bacteria; Bacillati; Chloroflexota; Anaerolineae
Description: partial 16S ribosomal RNA
Rfam family: Bacterial small subunit ribosomal RNA
Source: RNAcentral
CCUACGGGAGGCAGCAGUGAGGGAUAUUGCGCAAUGGGCGAAAGCCUGAUGCAGCAACGCCGCGUGUGCGAUGAAGGCCUUCGGGUCGUAAAGCACUUUUCUGGGAGAUGAGAAAGGACAGUAUCCCAGGAAUAAGCCUCGGCUAACUACGUGCCAGCAGCCGCGGUAACACGUAGGAGGCAAGCGUUAUUCGGAUUUACUGGGCGUAAAGCGCGUGCAGGCGGUUUGGUAAGUUGGAUGUAAAAGCUCCUGGCUUAACUGGGAGAGGUCGUCCAAUACUACCAGACUAGAGGACGGUAGAGGAAGGUGAAAUUCCCGGUGUAGUGGUGAAAUGCGUAGAUAUCGGGAGGAACACCAGUGGCGAAGGCGGCCUUCUGGGCCAUUCCUGACGCUCAGACGCGAAAGCUAGGGUAGCAAACGGGAUUAGAUCCC